GAUGAACGCUGGCGGCGUGCCUAAUACAUGCAAGUCGAGCGAACGGACGAGAAGCUUGCUUCUCUGAUGUUAGCGGCGGACGGGUGAGUAACACGUGGAUAACCUACCUAUAAGACUGGGAUAACUUCGGGAAACCGUAGCUAAUACCGGAUAAUAUUUUGAACCGCAUGGUUCAAAAGUGAAAGACGGUCUUGCUGUCGCUUAUAGAUGGAUCCGCGCUGCAUUAGCUAGUUGGUAGGGUAACGGCUUACCAAGGCAACGAUGCAUAGCCGACCUGAGAGGGUGAUCGGCCACACUGGAACUGAGACACGGUCCAGACUCCUACGGGAGGCAGCAGUAGGGAAUCUUCCGCAAUGGGCGAAAGCCUGACGGAGCAACGCCGCGUGAGUGAUGAAGGUCUUCGGAUCGUAAAACUCUGUUAUUAGGGAAGAACAUAUGUGUAAGUAACUGUGCACAUCUUGACGGUACCUAAUCAGAAAGCCACGGCUAACUACGU
RNAcentral lists this ribosomal RNA (496 nucleotides) under uncultured bacterium. RNAcentral describes it as "partial 16S ribosomal RNA". It matches the Rfam family "Bacterial small subunit ribosomal RNA", at positions 28 to 506 of the family's 1533-position model. The record is from RNAcentral.